This 1036-nucleotide long non-coding RNA is filed under the name Pogona vitticeps (central bearded dragon). RNAcentral's name for it is "lncRNA (ENSPVIG00000012127.1)". The record is from RNAcentral. Lineage: Eukaryota; Metazoa; Chordata; Lepidosauria; Squamata; Agamidae.
CCCUGGGGGCUGGGGCGAGGGUGGGGAGCCUGUUGGAGAGGGGCUGGGGGCUUCCCCGGUAAGAAGCGGGACAGCUGCCCCAUGGAAGUGCUUCCCCCCCCCCGAGCCUGCUCUUCCAGGCCACCUCACUUGUCAAGCAUACUGGCGGGCCCUUUUUGAGAGGGUUAAAAUCCCCCCUUCUGUUCCCCCCUCUUCCAUUUCCCCCCAGAUCUUGUGACUUUCCACCAGCCCAACGUCCAUAUUGGGUGGGCUUCGGCUUGAGUCAUGGCUCAACACCCCCCACCUCCCCGCACUCACACAACUCUAUUUGGUGGUUGCUGCCAUUUCCCUUCUCUUUUUCCAGAUAUGGACUCCUUGUUUUCAAAAACACCUGCCCCUGAGCAUGCACCGAGUGCCCGCAAAGAGAACACUGCCGUACCCUGGGGCGAGAGAGCAUGAAUUCUCAAGUCAGAGUGGGCCACGUCCCAGGGAAACGUUGGGUCUCAGCAAUUCCUCUCUCUCUCUCACACACACACACACACACACACAAACACACAUGUAGUGGAGGGCGUCUGUCUACACAGAGCAGCCCAAGGCUGUUGAAGGGGUCAACCCCACAGGAUUCCUUAUUGUGUGGUGGAUUCACCCGCUCACCUUUAUCUUCUCAAGGGUCUUCUGGAGGAGGUCUCCGUUGGCACUUGCUCAUCGCCAUCUAAAGAUGGCAGUCCUCCUGGGCACCCCUUGGCAUGAGGGAGGGAGAAGGGGGGACACCCCACCCUGGAAAAGGGAGCAGCCGGUAACUUGCCGGACCCUUCCUGCAGCACUCGUCGGACAGGAGUGGGUGGGCACCAUCUGCCCUCGGGGGAUGCGCGCUGCUCCCUGUCUGCAUCCCAAAUUGUCGUCCGGUGGGUUUAUGUAGAAUCAAUGUGGACUGGAACUUAAAUGCAAACAAGACAGCACUGAAGAGGAGGGGGGGAAAACCCUCUCUCCUUGAGAAUUGAGUGUAUAAGUGUGUACAUAAAAUAAAUGUCUACCAAGCAGUUGCCUCUGAGUUGUG